UCCCCAGGUGCCGGCUACACACUUAAACAAGACAUUUUAAGAUUCAACCUUCCGCUUGGUCUCUCCUGGUUUCUUACCAGCAUUCACUCGCUUGCAACAGAGGAUGCCUUACGCAGCGCCUCUUCCUGCCAUCAGCAUGGGGACCAGGCUGCUUUCCUGGGCCUAGAAGUCAUUACACAAAACCCUUCUUUCGUUCAAAACAGAUCCUCACUGUGGAGAACCUUUGGUUCUCAGGUGAAACCGGCGCCUCUGUAAAUAGCUGCUGGGGAAAACUGCUUUCGUGGGUGGAAGCGAGGCUGGUGUGUGAGUUUUAGCAUCAACAACCAUCUGCUCUUGGCUGUGGCAGAGGUUUCCAUGCCGUAUACCCUGCAAUGGAGGAAUUCCCUUUUCAGUCCUGCUGUGAGCAAGAAGAGAGAUCCCAGCAGGGCGUGCUUUGUCAGGAGCAGCUUUUAUUCAUGGAUUGGAUCUCCUUGCAAUUUCAAUUUCACCAGCACGUCAGGCAGAAGACGGCAAAUUGAAAAAGAUCCUCAAAAUUCUGGCGUAUUUCUAGUGCUGUCCAUGUACAUGACCUUGGAGGUGAUGAGAGAUUGCUGUCAGCUGCAUCGCGUCACAUCCAGUCAAUGAACCCGCAGCUUAACGAGGUGCAGUCUUUGCUGGGGGGUACACACAGAGAGCUGUGCUUGAGCUGGAGCCCUGCAUCCACCUGCUUUGCAUGCAGAUGGGCACCUUUGUGAUGUUCUUCUGGAUUUCAUGGUUAACAAAGUAUUUGUUGAGCUGGGUACCAUGUGAACCACCACAGACAUCCAUGUGUCUAAGGCAGAGUACGUGUCUUUAAGGAGUUCACAGUCUAAGCAGGUGACGUACCUAUCUACUUAAGGACUGAAGCAUGUCACA
RNAcentral lists this long non-coding RNA (894 nucleotides) under Homo sapiens (human). Its description in RNAcentral is "HSALNT0309542". The record is from RNAcentral. Lineage: Eukaryota; Metazoa; Chordata; Mammalia; Primates; Hominidae.